This 219-nucleotide long non-coding RNA is filed under the name Lathyrus oleraceus (garden pea). RNAcentral's name for it is "Pisum sativum (pea) long non-coding RNA (PSAT_LNC018266)". Lineage: Eukaryota; Viridiplantae; Streptophyta; Magnoliopsida; Fabales; Fabaceae. The record is from RNAcentral.
UUCAUUUUUCCAAGCUAACAGCCACUAAAACUCUUCCAAAAUCACAUUCAAGCUCUCUUCUUUUAACCUAAAUCCCAAACUCACUCAACCCCUCUCUCUUCUUUGAACCACCCAACAACCAUGUAAAAUUCCACCAUUUUCAUACAACAACAUCAGUAGCAAACCAACAACCUUCAUCCACAUAACCAUUCACCACCACCAUGUAAACUUAUAACUUCC